AUUAGAGUUUGAUCCUGGCUCAGAUUGAACGCUGGCGGCAGGCCUAACACAUGCAAGUCGGACGGUAGCACAGAGGAGCUUGCUCCUCGGGUGACGAGUGGCGGACGGGUGAGUAAUGUCUGGGGAUCUGCCCGAUAGAGGGGGAUAACCACUGGAAACGGUGGCUAAUACCGCAUAACGUCGCAAGACCAAAGAGGGGGACCUUCGGGCCUCUCACUAUCGGAUGAACCCAGAUGGGAUUAGCUAGUAGGCGGGGUAAUGGCCCACCUAGGCGACGAUCCCUAGCUGGUCUGAGAGGAUGACCAGCCACACUGGAACUGAGACACGGUCCAGACUCCUACGGGAGGCAGCAGUGGGGAAUAUUGCACAAUGGGCGCAAGCCUGAUGCAGCCAUGCCGCGUGUAUGAAGAAGGCCUUCGGGUUGUAAAGUACUUUCAGCGGGGAGGAAGGCGAUGUGGUUAAUAACCGCGUCGAUUGACGUUACCCGCAGAAGAAGCACCGGCUAACUCCGUGCCAGCAGCCGCGGUAAUACGGAGGGUGCAAGCGUUAAUCGGAAUUACUGGGCGUAAAGCGCACGCAGGCGGUCUGUUAAGUCAGAUGUGAAAUCCCCGGGCUUAACCUGGGAACUGCAUUUGAAACUGGCAGGCUUGAGUCUCGUAGAGGGGGGUAGAAUUCCAGGUGUAGCGGUGAAAUGCGUAGAGAUCUGGAGGAAUACCGGUGGCGAAGGCGGCCCCCUGGACGAAGACUGACGCUCAGGUGCGAAAGCGUGGGGAGCAAACAGGAUUAGAUAUCCUGGUAGUCCACGCCGUAAACGAUGUCGACUUGGAGGUUGUUCCCUUGAGGAGUGGCUUCCGGAGCUAACGCGUUAAGUCGACCGCCUGGGGAGUACGGCCGCAAGGUUAAAACUCAAAUGAAUUGACGGGGGCCCGCACAAGCGGUGGAGCAUGUGGUUUAAUUCGAUGCAACGCGAAGAACCUUACCUACUCUUGACAUCCAGAGAACUUAGCAGAGAUGCCUUGGUGCCUUCGGGAACUCUGAGACAGGUGCUGCAUGGCUGUCGUCAGCUCGUGUUGUGAAAUGUUGGGUUAAGUCCCGCAACGAGCGCAACCCUUAUCCUUUGUUGCCAGCGAUUCGGUCGGGAACUCAAAGGAGACUGCCGGUGAUAAACCGGAGGAAGGUGGGGAUGACGUCAAGUCAUCAUGGCCCUUACGAGUAGGGCUACACACGUGCUACAAUGGCGCAUACAAAGAGAAGCGACCUCGCGAGAGCAAGCGGACCUCAUAAAGUGCGUCGUAGUCCGGAUCGGAGUCUGCAACUCGACUCCGUGAAGUCGGAAUCGCUAGUAAUCGUGGAUCAGAAUGCCACGGUGAAUACGUUCCCGGGCCUUGUACACACCGCCCGUCACACCAUGGGAGUGGGUUGCAAAAGAAGUAGGUAGCUUAACCUUCGGGAGGGCGCUUACCACUUUGUGAUUCAUGACUGGGGUGAAGUCGUAACAAGGUAGCCGUAAAU
RNAcentral lists this ribosomal RNA (1512 nucleotides) under Pantoea ananatis. Its description in RNAcentral is "bacterial SSU rRNA". It matches the Rfam family "Bacterial small subunit ribosomal RNA". Lineage: Bacteria; Pseudomonadati; Pseudomonadota; Gammaproteobacteria; Enterobacterales; Erwiniaceae. The record is from RNAcentral.